This 584-nucleotide ribosomal RNA is filed under the name fungal sp. APA-2013. Its description in RNAcentral is "eukaryotic LSU rRNA". The stretch from base 219 to 372 matches the Rfam family "5.8S ribosomal RNA". The record is from RNAcentral. Lineage: Eukaryota; Fungi.
UAUUUAGAGGAAGUAAAAGUCGUAACAAGGUCUCCGUAGGUGAACCUGCGGAGGGAUCAUUACAAGUGACCCCGGUCUAACCACCGGGAUGUUCAUAACCCUUUGUUGUCCGACUCUGUUGCCUCCGGGGCGACCCUGCCUUCGGGCGGGGGCUCCGGGUGGACACUUCAAACUCUUGCGUAACUUUGCAGUCUGAGUAAACUUAAUUAAUAAAUUAAAACUUUUAACAACGGAUCUCUUGGUUCUGGCAUCGAUGAAGAACGCAGCGAAAUGCGAUAAGUAAUGUGAAUUGCAGAAUUCAGUGAAUCAUCGAAUCUUUGAACGCACAUUGCGCCCCCUGGUAUUCCGGGGGGCAUGCCUGUUCGAGCGUCAUUUCACCACUCAAGCCUCGCUUGGUAUUGGGCAACGCGGUCCGCCGCGUGCCUCAAAUCGACCGGCUGGGUCUUCUGUCCCCUAAGCGUUGUGGAAACUAUUCGCUAAAGGGUGUUCGGGAGGCUACGCCGUAAAACAACCCCAUUUCUAAGGUUGACCUCGGAUCAGGUAGGGAUACCCGCUGAACUUAAGCAUAUCAAUAAGCGGAGGAA